GUGAAUCAUCGAAUCUUUGAACGCAUAUUGCACUCUUUGGUAUUCCGGAGAGUAUGCCUGUUUGAGGGUCAUUUGAUAUAAUAUCUAUUCCAAGAUUUCUCGGAAUUUAAAAUGGGUUGUCCAUUUUUUGUGGUCGCCUAAAAUCCAAGACAAGCUCAUUUUCGUUGGUUUCGUUAUACUUUCAGUUACCUCGUGACUUAACCAGGAAUCAUCGGGUGUGUUAUGAAUUUUGCACGAGUUAAAAAAUUGCAUAGGUUU
RNAcentral lists this unclassified non-coding RNA (258 nucleotides) under Ambispora leptoticha. RNAcentral describes it as "partial contains 5.8S ribosomal RNA and internal transcribed spacer 2". The stretch from base 1 to 71 matches the Rfam family "5.8S ribosomal RNA", at positions 84 to 154 of the family's 154-position model. Lineage: Eukaryota; Fungi; Glomeromycota; Glomeromycetes; Archaeosporales; Ambisporaceae. The record is from RNAcentral.